Long non-coding RNA from Oncorhynchus gorbuscha (pink salmon), 2790 nucleotides. RefSeq lists it as uncharacterized. The transcript has 4 exons. NCBI's taxonomy places the organism in Eukaryota, Metazoa, Chordata, Actinopteri, Salmoniformes, Salmonidae. The record is from RefSeq and is a predicted model, not a curated record.
CCUCCUGAUUUGCCUCCUGGAUUUGCUAUUUUAGCAUCACAUUCACCACUCUCUCAAAUGGCUAACAUCUCCAUCUCGCAGUCUGAAACUUGAAACAAACUCACAGUAGGCUCAAGUAAGCAACUACACUGUAAAAAUUAAAGGUUCCUGGAUGAUCCUUGAGGAUCAUUUAAGUUAAAAACCAACUUUAAGGUAGGAUCCUUUAGUAUAAUAUAAGGUUAAAAAAAAAAAAACGUACCGUUAAUAUAAGAACCUAUACACCGUCAUCUGUUUGUUUUUGAACCCUGCAGACUUAAGGGGUGCUUUGAAGAAGACUUUUCAAAAGAGGGGUUCAUUUUGGAACCACCAGUGCGCUCAUGAGGAAACGGUGUAUAAUUCAAAUUGAGAACGUUGGUCCAAAGACAACUGGAAGCAGGAAGCGCGCGAAUGGUUGGAGAGAUGCGACAGAUAAGAGAUGACUUGCGACAGAUAAGAGAUGACUUGCAACAGAUCGAUGUGAAAGCCCAUCCCUUUAGUACCUGGUUUAUCCUGUCCAGGUCCAGUUAAGUGGUGGAGAGUUUGGGGGCUGUGAGCUCUGAUCGAGAAAUGUAUCAACCUCCACGAACAGGUUGGUGUAUUGGGGCGGCCUGUUCUGUCCUCUGUAUUUCUGACCAUAUCAACUCAUAAUGGAUCUACAAACAGAUUGAGACUGGUGAGGAUUCCUUCAGUCAGAAGUUACAUGUUGAAAACAUAUGCAGGUGGAGUACCAGAAAAAGAGACCGAACAUAAGUUCCCUACAAGACAAAAUGAAAAGGACUGAAAGAGAGAGAGAGAGAGAACUUUUUAUGAAACAACAAGGCACCAAGGACAUCUUAAAACAGUUCCUAGCACUCCCUUUGUCAGCCGUUGUAAAGUAGACAAAAAGUCUGAUAGAAAUAAAUUGUAAAAAGCACAACUAUUGUAACAUAGCCAAGUACUGUCAUCUGAAUCCAAGAUAUGUUAAUAAUGCAUUAUAAACAAAUUGACUUUCAGAUUUUCUCAGAGAUGAGGAUCAAAUUUGGUAUGUACGUGGACAGAAACAUUCUGUCCGGAUUUGGCAAAAUAGUCGAUAAAAUCAUUGCAGAAACGGAGAGGAGGGGUAUGGCUGUGGAGUUGCUGAAUCUUUACAAGAUGGCAACACAGAUAGAACAAUGAGACAUAUAUUUCACAGGAUGUGUCAUGCCUGCUCUCGCUCCCCCUCUCUGGUGCUCGAGGGUAUCAGGCGGCCCAUCAUUACGCACACCUGUCACCGCCGUUUCGCACAUCAGUGCAUCAUGGGACUCACGUGGACUCUUUUACUUUAUUGAUUGCCUCCCCUAUAUCUGUCACUUCCCAGUGUCCGCAUUAAUGUCAUUUUUGUUCCCCCUGUCCAGAUGCUGUCCUUGUUUUGUUUCUUGUCAGUUAUUUAUUAAAUAUUCACUCCCUGUACUUGCUUCUCAUCUCCCAGCGUCUGUCCCUACAGGAUAUAUAAUUGUGAAGCAUCCGGUUGGCGUUUCUACACACUACCAAAUGUGGUAGUUCAGAAAUGUUCAGAAAUGUGUUCUGGGAAUUGACUCCAGGAACCUUUUAUUUUUACCCAAGCCUACUUGAAGGUAACAGUGCUCAUUGUUGCUCCUAGUGGCCAGUUUCCAGGUCAUCUGACCUAAGACAUGUAUGGACGUUGAAUACUGACUUGUAUCAUGGGUGACCUGCCAGGGGGUAUAACAUUAAAAUGGUAUAGCUAAAAGGCUGUGUUUGUAGAUGGACUGAGGUGAAUGAACCCCCAGAAACCAAGUUGAUAAUGGCUAGGGUAAUUUCUGCUUGUUUUUUCUGUUCUCCAAAAUGCAUUUGAACAUUUUUGAAUUGUAUAGAAAGGCGGUAAAUGAGCAUCAACCCAAUCAAUUUAGCGAUUGGGAAUUUGAAAUGUGUAGCUUCAAAUUAGUGGAAGAUGAGAGAAAAAAAUAUAACUAUCAAAUGUCAAAUUGUGUGUGUGUGUGUGUGUGUGUGUGUGUGUGUGUGUGUGUGUGUGUGUGUGUGUGUGUGUGUGUGUGUGUGUGUGUGUGUGUGUGUGUGUGUGUGUGUGUUAGAGAGAGAGAAAAUAAAGGUUGUUGAGGAAGCCAUUUAAUGAAUGACUAAUUGUGUGAAGAUGUGUGAUUGUUGGAGAGGAGCACGGCGAGAUACUGUAUGUGCACAUCCUGAUCUCUCAUCAUUCACCUCAUUAUUUACCGCCGCGCGUUUUGACACCAUGCAAUUUUCAAAUGUGGCCAUGGCAUGGAGCAAAUAUUCACGGAGUCAAGGUAAAUGAUCUGGGAUAAAAUUCGGAUUGAUUAUUGUCUGAAACCCUCGAAUCAAGACACUGCAGUCAAUGGUCUUUAAUGCGAAAUUAGUGGCUCUAGUUAGUGGCUCUAAUAAUCACAGCCUAAUGAAAAUAAGAGGAGAGAAUGCGUGGCAUUAGAUUCUAUUCUAAUGCCUGCUCAGAAGUCUGGCGAUAAAUAUGCAGUUUUUAUAUGGAUUCUGGCAGUAUGGUGCACCACCGUCUGCUUAUUUGAAAUCGUUGUUCCACUGUCUAGAGUUAAAUGAAUUGAUGUUCAUCCCUUUUGUGGUUUUGAAAGGAAACGAGACUUGAAUAGCAUGUAAUGUGAAGUAGAUAAUAAUCUCACAAAAAAUAUCUUCAAUAUUUGCAACAUUCUGACCUUAGUUCCUUUGUCUUGUCUUUUGUUUUAGUAUGGUCAGGGCGUGAGUUGAGUGGGUUGUCCAUGUUAGUUUGUCUAUGAUUUUCUAUUUCUGUGUAGG